This 460-nucleotide ribosomal RNA is filed under the name uncultured bacterium. RNAcentral describes it as "partial 16S ribosomal RNA". It matches the Rfam family "Bacterial small subunit ribosomal RNA", at positions 338 to 795 of the family's 1533-position model. The record is from RNAcentral.
CCUACGGGAGGCAGCAGUGAGGAAUAUUGGUCAAUGGGCGCGAGUCUGAACCAGCCAAGUCGCGUGAGGGAAGACGGUCCUAUGGAUUGUAAACCUCUUUUGUCGGGGAGCAAAAGACGCCACGCGUGGCGUUUCGAGAGUACCCGAUGAAUAAGCAUCGGCUAACUCCGUGCCAGCAGCCGCGGUAAUACGGAGGAUACGAGCGUUAUCCGGAUUUAUUGGGUUUAAAGGGUGAGUAGGCGGGAAGUCAAGCGUGCUGUAAAAUGUGGGGGCUCAACCCGCGCCGGGCCGUGGAAAUGGGCUUGCUUGAGUGCGCGGAAAGCAGGCGGAAUGCGUGGUGUAGCGGUGAAAUGCAUAGAUAUGACGAAGAACCCCGAUUGCGAAGGCAGCAUGCUGGAGCUCAACUGACGCUGAUGCACGAAAGUGCGGGUAUCGAACAGGAUUAGAUACCCUAGUAGUC